RNAcentral lists this ribosomal RNA (605 nucleotides) under uncultured bacterium. RNAcentral's name for it is "bacterial SSU rRNA". The stretch from base 1 to 534 matches the Rfam family "Bacterial small subunit ribosomal RNA", at positions 338 to 873 of the family's 1533-position model. The record is from RNAcentral.
CCUACGGGAGGCAGCAGUAGGGAAUAUUGGGCAAUGGAGGCAACUCUGACCCAGCCAUGCCGCGUGCAGGAAGACGGUCCUCUGGAUUGUAAACUGCUUUUGAAUGGGAAGAAUGUGCUCCUUGCGAGGGGUAAUGACGGUACCAUUAGAAUAAGCCACGGCUAACUACGUGCCAGCAGCCGCGGUAAUACGUAGGUGGCGAGCGUUAUCCGGAUUUAUUGGGUUUAAAGGGUGCGUAGGCGGCUUAAUAAGUCGGUGGUUAAAAGUAGCAGCUUAACUGUUUUACAUGCCAUCGAUACUGUUGAGCUUGAGAUAUUUGGAGGCAGCUAGAAUUUCCGGUGUAGCGGUGAAAUGCAUAGAUACCGGAAGGAAUACCAAUUGCGAAGGCAGGUUGCUACGAAUAAACUGACGCUGAUGCACGAAAGCGUGGGGAUCAAACAGGGUUAGAUACCCUGGUAGUCCACGCCGUAAACGAUGAUUACUAGUUNUUGGGGUUUAAGCCUCNGUGACAACGGAACGAANAAGUAAUACACCGUGGAGACGCCGCGACGAGAACGUAAAGUAAGUAGUUAGNGUGAGAGUGCGAGGCGACGACGAGGAGGAGG